CGUGAUCCACCCAUCCCAGAGAAUGACGUCAACCAAUGGCCCGUCGAGAGAAACCUACCUGGGAAGUAACCUUAUAAGACUGCCAAGUGGGAAGUCGGCUACCCUACAUUUCAGUCCCAUGGCUCUGACAAGCAAAUUCAUUGUGGUUGACCAGGAUGUGAGGAAAGUACCACCCUCUGGUGGUACGUAGAAGGUACUGCUCUCACAGCUUAGAAAGUAAAACAAAAUCACUUUGUCAAUUAAAGAAACACAGCAGAACCUAUAAUAACAUCGAAGAACCCAGAAAGUGAGAUCUUUAAUUAAACUAUAACUGAACCUUAAUUUUGUUUGUAUAUUUGCCAAUAGGGCACAUUUUAUAGACUGAGAGAUCAGCCAAGUACUCAACAAGUAACAUACGGAAGAUGCUAACAAGUGAAGCUAAUGAGAAGUGUAGCUCAGGCUCAAUUUGUACAUUCACAUACUAAUAUUUUCAAUAGCUAAUAUCUUCAUGGACCUUAUUCUAAGUGAGGUAAACUUUGGUAAUUCAGUUUUGGGGCACUGCUGCUGUUAUCAAAUCUUACAAAACUCAGAUAGGACAGAGACAUGGAGCUCCUGUGCUUUGUGGGGGUCUACUCACCGAUCCACACAGACUCUGGAACCCCUGACUGACAGAGAUCUGGCAGGACUUGGACAGCGAUGAAGAGAAAUUUGCUGGCCCUGCUGCAACUCGCAAUUCCUGAGCAGCUGAGCUGUUUGAAGAACCUGAAUCUUCUUGGUCUAAUGCCUGCCCUGCCAAGCAACCCAGGCCUUGGGACCAAACCACCAGCAAAGAACUGGCGUCGUGGGCUAUGCAUGGCAAAUUGUGGUCACUCAGUCACGGAUGACCUUUGAGGGACGUUUUGUGGGACGCAUGCGUAGGUGGUGGCAGCUAAAAUGUGCCUGCACGGAAGUGAGUUGCGCCGUCGAUCUGGAUGGUUACAUGCUUGUUUUCUAUCUUAUCUGAUUUAUUUUUGAGUUCUCAUAUUUAUGAUUUAUGAAUAUCCCACAAAAGCAGAAUACCUGUCAAGUACUGGUAUUCUUCACUGGUAGAUAAAAAGUGUUUCCUGUUGAGUGACUUGUUUGUAGUUCAUUACAAUAGAAUUUUUAAUCACCUAAAAUAUUAAUAUGUUAAAAAGCCUGCUCUGUAUAUUUGUCUGUUUCACUUCAUUUCUGCUCAUGAUUGCUGUAUAAUUUUGGAGAGGUAGCUGAAGGUGCAAACAAAAAUAAAAUAAAAUAAACUCCAAGCACUCCAGUGUUUGGCUACUCAAGAAAGGAUUUUUAAAUGCUUCAAACAGAAAGUGACUUCCAAACUAUCUGCAUGUAGUAUCUUUUUUAUCAUCCCUACUUAUAUAUUUAGCGGGCUAUUCUGUUGUAAUAUUUGUUAAAUAUCUGCGGAAUGGAAAUUGAGAUAUUUAGGCUACCUAAAUAACCUUACCUGUAACUGUUUUCCCAUGCUGCUAUCAUUUAACUGAGUAUGGAAAAGAGAUAGUAGGACAAAGAAAGUUAAUUUAUUUGAAAUAAUAUCUGAGUGUCAGUUUGUUAGUUGUUUAUGAAUUAACAAUUGCCAUUUAAACAGAUGUUUAGCUGCCAAGCAGCUUGUUUGUACAGUUGGUAUUUUUGACAUGACAAAUAAUAAUUAUUAUUGAACAUGCUAAUUACUUUCAAUUAUAAGCUUUUUUAAAGAGUGAACUGCCAGACAAAGGAAAUCUUUUUAAGAUUGAAAACUUGCUUUUGACACCAAGAUGCAGUUAUUGUGCUGACAGACUGAGAAAAUUGGAACAGGACCAAAUAAAUAAAUAAAUAAAUGGCUUCUACUGUCUUUUUCCUGUUACGUUUUAAGCUUAUAGUUUUAAAACAUUAUUAUUUUAAAUUAGAUAUUUUAUAUUAAAGGGUGUGGCCUGUGAUAGAUUGGCGGCCUGUCCAGGAUGUAUUCCUGCCUCUCACCAAAUGCACACUGGGAUAGGCUCCAGUACCCCCCAUGACCCUGACCAGGAAUAAGCAGGUAUAGAUAAUGGAUGGAUGGAUAUUAAAGUACUGUAAGUAUAAACAUAUUCAUUAAACAUUGGUUUAUGCUUAUGUAUUUUUAAAAAUACAUGUUGGUUGUGAACACACAAAAAGGAUUCAUUAAAAUGUACAUUUGCUUGUGUUGAUUCUGCUAAUAAAACUUGCA
Molecule: long non-coding RNA, 2188 nt
Organism: Anguilla rostrata (American eel)
Lineage: Eukaryota; Metazoa; Chordata; Actinopteri; Anguilliformes; Anguillidae
Exons: 3
Source: RefSeq, a predicted model, not a curated record